This is a long non-coding RNA of Thunnus maccoyii (southern bluefin tuna), 547 nucleotides long. RefSeq lists it as uncharacterized. The record is from RefSeq and is a predicted model, not a curated record. The transcript is spliced from 2 exons. NCBI's taxonomy places the organism in Eukaryota, Metazoa, Chordata, Actinopteri, Scombriformes, Scombridae.
AACAAGACUAAUAGUGGGCGGUGUUAAAAAUGUACUUAACCUAGCCUUCUGUUUUGAUCACAGGUUAUUCUGAAGCAGAAGUGGGGCUUUACAGGUAUAAUUGAACAGAGCCAGAAGUGCCAACAUAGAUAGAAAAGAUCUCAAUAAUGAAGGAAGCAGGAGAGAGAAACGACGAAAAAUUAAUUGAGGAGAAUGUAAAAGCAAAUGAACCAAGGACACGAAAGUUCAGUCAUUACAGCUCUCCCUCAUGCCAUGCUAUCACCUCAUUCCCUUCACCUGGUUUUCCCCACCUGCAGCUCAUUCCCUCAUUAGUCCCUCAGCAUAUAUACCAGUCCAUCUCCACUAGUUUCUCACUAGAUUGUCUUUUACAUUAUGCUAAGCUUUCCAGCACUUAUUACCUGAUUCCUGAAACCUUCCUGUCUGAAUAUCAGCCUGAUUCCCUCGACUGAUUCUCUGCCUGAUCCCUGCUGGUUAGGUUUGCCUUCUCUGCUUGAUCUCUUGGUUCUGACCCUUGCCUGUUUACUGGAAUAAACCUUGUGAAGUUUGA